RNAcentral lists this transfer RNA (97 nucleotides) under Acidobacteriota bacterium. RNAcentral describes it as "Acidobacteria bacterium tRNA-Sec". It matches the Rfam family "Selenocysteine transfer RNA". Lineage: Bacteria; Pseudomonadati; Acidobacteriota. The record is from RNAcentral.
GGAAGCGAAUGGGGCCCGGUGGCCCUCCCGGUCUUCAAAACCGGUCGCCCCCUGCUAACGUGGGGGGGCUGGGUUCGACUCCCAGGCGCUUCCGCCA